AAUCCAUAGGUUAAUGAGGCGAACCGGGGGAACUGAAACAUCUAAGUACCCCGAGGAAAAGAAAUCAACCGAGAUUCCCCCAGUAGCGGCGAGCGAACGGGGAGGAGCCCAGAGCCUGAAUCAGCAUGUGUGUUAGUGGAAGCGUCUGGAAAGGCGCGCGAUACAGGGUGACAGCCCCGUACACAAAAGCGCAUGUGCUGUGAGCUCGAUGAGUAGGGCGGGACACGUGGUAUCCUGUCUGAAUAUGGGGGGACCAUCCUCCAAGGCUAAAUACUCCUGACUGACCGAUAGUGAACCAGUACCGUGAGGGAAAGGCGAAAAGAACCCCGGCGAGGGGAGUGAAAAAGAACCUGAAACCGUGUACGUACAAGCAGUGGGAGCACAGGUUUACCUGUGUGACUGCGUACCUUUUGUAUAAUGGGUCAGCGACUUAUAUUCUGUAGCAAGGUUAACCGUAUAGGGGAGCCGGAGGGAAACCGAGUCUUAAUUGGGCGUUAAGUUGCAGGGUAUAGACCCGAAACCCGGUGAUCUAGCCAUGGGCAGGUUGAAGGUUGGGUAACACUAACUGGAGGACCGAACCGACUAAUGUUGAAAAAUUAGCGGAUGACCUGUGGCUGGGGGUGAAAGGCCAAUCAAACCGGGAGAUAGCUGGUUCUCCCCGAAAGCUAUUUAGGUAGCGCCUCGUGAAUUCAUCUCCGGGGGUAGAGCACUGUUUCGGCUAGGGGGCCAUCCCGGCUUACCAACCCGAUGCAAACUGCGAAUACCGGAGAAUGUUAUCACGGGAGACACACGGCGGGUGCUAACGUCCGUCGUGAAGAGGGAAACAACCCAGACCGCCAGCUAAGGUCCCAAAGUCAUGGUUAAGUGGGAAACGAUGUGGGAAGGCCCAGACAGCCAGGAUGUUGGCUUAGAAGCAGCCAUCAUUUAAAGAAAGCGUAAUAGCUCACUGGUCGAGUCGGCCUGCGCGGAAGAUGUAACGGGGCUAAACCAUGCACCGAAGCUGCGGCAGCGACACUGUGUGUUGUUGGGUAGGGGAGCGUUCUGUAAGCCUGUGAAGGUGUGUCGUGAGGCAUGCUGGAGGUAUCAGAAGUGCGAAUGCUGACAUAAGUAACGAUAAAGCGGGUGAAAAGCCCGCUCGCCGGAAGACCAAGGGUUCCUGUCCAACGUUAAUCGGGGCAGGGUGAGUCGACCCCUAAGGCGAGGCCGAAAGGCGUAGUCGAUGGGAAACGGGUUAAUAUUCCCGUACUUGGUGUUACUGCGAAGGGGGGACGGAGAAGGCUAUGUUGGCCGGGCGACGGUUGUCCCGGUUUAAGCGUGUAGGUGUGUGUUCCAGGUAAAUCCGGUUCACUUUAACACUGAGGCGUGACGACGAGGCACUACGGUGCUGAAGCAACAAAUGCCCUGCUUCCAGGAAAAGCCUCUAAGCAUCAGGUAACAUCAAAUCGUACCCCAAACCGACACAGGUGGUCAGGUAGAGAAUACCAAGGCGCUUGAGAGAACUCGGGUGAAGGAACUAGGCAAAAUGGUGCCGUAACUUCGGGAGAAGGCACGCUGACACGUAGGUGAAGUGAUUUACUCAUGGAGCUGAAGUCAGUCGAAGAUACCAGCUGGCUGCAACUGUUUAUUAAAAACACAGCACUGUGCAAACACGAAAGUGGACGUAUACGGUGUGACGCCUGCCCGGUGCCGGAAGGUUAAUUGAUGGGGUCAGCGCAAGCGAAGCUCCUGAUCGAAGCCCCGGUAAACGGCGGCCGUAACUAUAACGGUCCUAAGGUAGCGAAAUUCCUUGUCGGGUAAGUUCCGACCUGCACGAAUGGCGUAAUGAUGGCCAGGCUGUCUCCACCCGAGACUCAGUGAAAUUGAACUCGCUGUGAAGAUGCAGUGUACCCGCGGCAAGACGGAAAGACCCCGUGAACCUUUACUAUAGCUUGACACUGAACAUUGAGCCUUGAUGUGUAGGAUAGGUGGGAGGCUUUGAAGCGUGGACGCCAGUCUGCGUGGAGCCGACCUUGAAAUACCACCCUUUAAUGUUUGAUGUUCUAACGUGGACCCGUAAUCCGGGUUGCGGACAGUGUCUGGUGGGUAGUUUGACUGGGGCGGUCUCCUCCUAAAGAGUAACGGAGGAGCACGAAGGUUGGCUAAUCCUGGUCGGACAUCAGGAGGUUAGUGCAAUGGCAUAAGCCAGCUUGACUGCGAGCGUGACGGCGCGAGCAGGUGCGAAAGCAGGUCAUAGUGAUCCGGUGGUUCUGAAUGGAAGGGCCAUCGCUCAACGGAUAAAAGGUACUCCGGGGAUAACAGGCUGAUACCGCCCAAGAGUUCAUAUCGACGGCGGUGUUUGGCACCUCGAUGUCGGCUCAUCACAUCCUGGGGCUGAAGUAGGUCCCAAGGGUAUGGCUGUUCGCCAUUUAAAGUGGUACGCGAGCUGGGUUUAGAACGUCGUGAGACAGUUCGGUCCCUAUCUGCCGUGGGCGCUGGAGAACUGAGGGGGGCUGCUCCUAGUACGAGAGGACCGGAGUGGACGCAUCACUGGUGUUCGGGUUGUCAUGCCAAUGGCACUGCCCGGUAGCUACAUGCGGAAGAGAUAAGUGCUGAAAGCAUCUAAGCACGAAACUUGCCCCGAGAUGAGUUCUCC
RNAcentral lists this ribosomal RNA (2632 nucleotides) under Salmonella enterica subsp. enterica serovar Stanley. RNAcentral's name for it is "partial 23S ribosomal RNA". It matches the Rfam family "Bacterial large subunit ribosomal RNA". Lineage: Bacteria; Pseudomonadati; Pseudomonadota; Gammaproteobacteria; Enterobacterales; Enterobacteriaceae. The record is from RNAcentral.